This 252-nucleotide ribosomal RNA is filed under the name uncultured Bacteroidales bacterium. RNAcentral's name for it is "partial 16S ribosomal RNA". It matches the Rfam family "Bacterial small subunit ribosomal RNA", at positions 524 to 776 of the family's 1533-position model. Lineage: Bacteria; Pseudomonadati; Bacteroidota; Bacteroidia; Bacteroidales. The record is from RNAcentral.
UACGGAGGAUGCGAGCGUUAUCCGGAUUUAUUGGGUUUAAAGGGUGCGUAGGCGGACUGUUAAGUCAGCGGUAAAAGCCCGGGGCUCAACCCCGGCGAGCCGUUGAAACUGGCUGUCUUGAGAUGUCGAGAGGUAUGCGGAAUGCGCAGUGUAGCGGUGAAAUGCUUAGAUAUUGCGCAGAACUCCGAUUGCGAAGGCAGCCUUCCGGCGCCCUACUGACGCUGAGGCACGAAAGUGCGGGGAUCGAACAGG